CAUGUCUGGAGGACAGAGACAUUGUGACAGCAACAAAAUAAAUCCUUAUCUCUAUCAGAUGUUUAUGACAAAUAGAAAGUUGAAAAUGAAUUAUUACCUAGGAAAAAAGUCUACAAGGAAAAAAUGAAACUAUGUGGGGAUCUAUAAAUGAAAGACCCAGUAAAAAGAUUCACUGUCAUCUGAAGAAUCAAAGGCACAGCUUCGGUCAGAAAAAUAUGUCAAUCUCUCAGACAGAAGGCAACGUAUGUAAAAUGCAUAUGUGAUGAUGGCAAGGCAAAUGAGUGAAAUAUACAUUACUUUCUUUUGGGAUAGGAACUGUCAAGAGGAAACUUAUGGAUGCUUAUCAUGCUCUACAAUUUAUUAGAGGACUCUUGGAAUUCUCUGAGUAUGAAAGUCAUUUGGGAAGUUUUGUUUGUUUCAUUUGUCUUUAUUUUAUUCUAUAAUAGGGGUUGGAACUGUUGAGGAAGAAGAUAAAUAAAAAAUUGGAUCAUGUUGACAGAAUGAAGAAGCAGUAGGAGAAGAGAAAGUACAAGAGAAGA
Heterocephalus glaber (naked mole-rat) is the source of this 539-nucleotide non-coding RNA. Lineage: Eukaryota; Metazoa; Chordata; Mammalia; Rodentia; Bathyergidae. The record is from RefSeq and is a predicted model, not a curated record.